RNAcentral lists this ribosomal RNA (427 nucleotides) under uncultured bacterium. RNAcentral's name for it is "partial 16S ribosomal RNA". It matches the Rfam family "Bacterial small subunit ribosomal RNA", at positions 355 to 774 of the family's 1533-position model. The record is from RNAcentral.
UGGGGAAUAUUGGACAAUGGGCGAAAGCCUGAUCCAGCCAUGCCGCGUGUGUGAAGAAGGUCUUCGGAUUGUAAAGCACUUUAAGUUGGGAGGAAGGGCAUUAACCUAAUACGUUAGUGUUUUGACGUUACCGACAGAAUAAGCACCGGCUAACUCUGUGCCAGCAGCCGCGGUAAUACAGAGGGUGCAAGCGUUAAUCGGAGUUACUGGGCGUAAAGCGCGCGUAGGUGGUUUGUUAAGUUGGAUGUGAAAGCCCCGGGCUCAACCUGGGAACUGCAUCCAAAACUGGCAAGCUAGAGUACGGUAGAGGGUGGUGGAAUUUCCUGUGUAGCGGUGAAAUGCGUAGAUAUAGGAAGGAACACCAGUGGCGAAGGCGACCACCUGGACUGAUACUGACACUGAGGUGCGAAAGCGUGGGGAGCAAACA